This 926-nucleotide long non-coding RNA is filed under the name Homo sapiens (human). RNAcentral describes it as "long non-coding RNA NONHSAT215518.1". Lineage: Eukaryota; Metazoa; Chordata; Mammalia; Primates; Hominidae. The record is from RNAcentral.
AGGACGAGAUGUCUGCAGCAAGCAGUCCACCCUCCAUUAAGAACCUCUGAGGACAUCAAGAAAAUACAGAAAUGGAGAAACUCUGGCGCCCACGUCCUGCUCUGCGUGGAUACAAAUGGGAAUGGGAAGAAGGCUACGGUUUUGCCCUGAGUGAGAGCCUUGGCUUUUCCUUCCACGGAUUUGGCUGCAGAUCCAGAGAGAUGGGAGCAGGAGGCUUCUGAGGAGAGCUGAAGCCACCAACUGUUCUGGAAGCCCUGGUUUUAGGAGUGGUAAACAAAGAGGGACUCCAAGAGGCUGGACAUGGACAAUGUGCUUUAUCCUCGACCAGCAUCACAGCCAAAGACCAGGAUGAGUCAAGGAGUCUAUGCAAGAUGUAGAAGUGACUGCUGAGCACCCGCUGUGCACAGAUCAUUAAGCCAGUGCUGAAGAGGCAGUGCCUCUGAUUAUGAGCGCACCCUCAAGUUCGCCCAAAGUGCAGUGUGGAGGGAGGAUUCCUGAAUUUGGAGGCCUCAGUGGGAACAGAUAGACCCAAGAGGAAACAAACUAGGAGUCCAGUCAAGCCACUGGAGGCCCAGAGGAUGUUGCAAGGACAGCAGACAUGUGGUUUAGAGGAACAGGGGGCAGACAGGCAGCAGAGUCCAGCAAUAGCUGAGACAAUGGUACAAGGGAGGCUGCCUAAUUUAUAGCACCCCACGGUCCCCAAGUGCUGAUUGUGGCCCAAGAGGAGUCAGAGACCAGCAGGGACAAGGUCUCACUGUAUUGCUGAGUCUGGCCUCAAACUCCUAGGAUCAAGCAAUCCUCCUACCUCGAUCUCCCAAAGUGUUAGGAUUACAGAGGCACAUGGUAGAAUUGCACUUCCUGGCUCACCUUUGGCUGAAUGGGGCCAUGUGACUAGUCAUAGCCAAGGAAUUAUGACUUCUGCCUUG